RNAcentral lists this long non-coding RNA (323 nucleotides) under Gossypium barbadense (sea-island cotton). Its description in RNAcentral is "long non-coding RNA (GBAR_LNC004911)". Lineage: Eukaryota; Viridiplantae; Streptophyta; Magnoliopsida; Malvales; Malvaceae. The record is from RNAcentral.
AUGGCCAUGACACUCGCACUGAAGGAAGACAACCACAAUGGCAUUGGGGUGGCCAAGGAUGAUGCUAAUGACAACUAGACUGAGGCCAACAUAUUAUUAUGUCAAAAAAUGGAACAAAUAUAAAACGGAAAGGCCAAGAGGGGGAGAGGCCGAAGAGCUUUGAGCCUCGCAUUCUCACCUCAUCCACAACCAAAAACUGACCAACAAAGCCACCAGCAAAGAGGUCAAAAAGGCCAACGCAGAGACCAAGGUAAUAAACAAACGAGAAGCGGUGAAAUGGGGAAGGGGAGGGAAAUGAAGGAUCGUUGCCAGGAAGAGACGCC